This 363-nucleotide ribosomal RNA is filed under the name uncultured soil bacterium. RNAcentral describes it as "bacterial SSU rRNA". It matches the Rfam family "Bacterial small subunit ribosomal RNA", at positions 26 to 384 of the family's 1533-position model. The record is from RNAcentral.
AGAUUGAACGCUAGCGGGAUGCUUUACACAUGCAAGUCGAACGGCAGCGCGGACUUCGGUCUGGCGGCGAGUGGCGAACGGGUGAGUAAUAUAUCGGAACGUGCCCAGUAGCGGGGGAUAACUACGCGAAAGCGUGGCUAAUACCGCAUACGCCCUACGGGGGAAAGGGGGGGAUUCUUCGGAACCUCUCACUAUUGGAGCGGCCGAUAUCAGAUUAGCUAGUUGGUGAGGUAAUGGCUCACCAAGGCGACGAUCCGUAACUGGUCUGAGAGGAUGAUCAGUCACACUGGAACUGAGACACGGUCCAGACUCCGUACGGGAGCAGCAGGUGGGGAAUAGUUGGACAAGUGGGGACGAAAGUCC